AUUCUUAUUCAGUUGCCUUGGUGCACACACGCUCAUGCCUGGCGAAGCCGGGGCCCAGUGCUUGCUCUCGCGAUUUUCAUUCACAUUGCACAGGGAAAAUCCGUAUACCGUUCUAAAGAUUGAUUGGGCAUAGCAAUUAGUACAUUAGUGUGACGUGACAGUGGAAAGAGGAUGGCCAAAAUUACAUAAUAUAUUGGAUUCUUAAAUUAUUGGUCAUAUCCUGUGAACUUGGUUGGACUUUCAUUGGAAUAUACACCCUAACAUCAGUAAUUGAAAUAAAAACUUCAACUGGCCGACUGUGAGCUCAAAAGGCCAAAAUGUCGGGAGGAGGAGAAUCAGUAAAAGUAGCCGUGCGGGUGCGGCCUUUCAACUCAAGAGAAAAAGAAAGGGGGGCAAAAUGUGUGGUGGAGAUGUCAGGAGCCACGACGAAGAUGCACAAUCCUGAAGCCCCAAAGGAUGAACCUAGAUCUUUCACAUUUGAUUACUCAUAUUGGUAAGUCAUAAUUAAUUAAUU
Lytechinus variegatus (green sea urchin) is the source of this 514-nucleotide long non-coding RNA. RefSeq lists it as uncharacterized. The record is from RefSeq and is a predicted model, not a curated record. The transcript has 5 exons. NCBI's taxonomy places the organism in Eukaryota, Metazoa, Echinodermata, Echinoidea, Temnopleuroida, Toxopneustidae.